ACAACGUCGUCGUUAAUUCUUGGCCUCAUAUAAAUGACUUUCUCAUUAAAAUAAACUCUAAUUUCUUUCAAAUAAGGUUCAUUCCACCAUAGCAAACAAAAUGUGACGACAUAACCUGUUAUCGUCAUUGCCAUUCUGACAACGUUGCCGUUCCGAGCGAAACGUCAAAGCAACCAACUUAUAAAUGCAGGUGGUCAAAUUCACAACUAAUCAAUUCGCUGUAAUUUGCGAUAGCAGCGCCCAUUUCAACUGCAAAUGUAAGUUUGUUCGGUAUAGACGUUUUUGCGAUGAAUCGACUUGAACACAGUGUCGCACAGUGUCGUUUUUCGCUUGAGAAACCACGUGUGUUUUUAAAAGCUGGAAAACGGGAUUAUGAUCAUUUCGCAGUCAGUUGCGCUGCGCACGCGUCUCGGUGUGUUUACGUUUUUUUGGUUUGAUCUAUUUAUUUUUUUGUGAACAUGUUCUUGACGUUUGAAGUGAUCGCCACAUUCGGAGUGUCAGCUGUGGUAUCCUUCUCGAUAUCCUCGGCAAUCCUCCUCCUGCUGGCUGCCAAGCGCGGCCUGCUUCGCAAGCGAGAGAAGCCUGGGGUGACCAACGCUGCGCUGCUUCCGCCCUCCGCCCCGCCGAAGGCGCUGCUUGCAGAACAGACACCUUUGCAGUCUUAGGAUGUAUACCUAACAAACUUUGCUGGUUUUUGUUAGACCAUUGGAACACAGACUAACAGAUACCGCAUUAUAAUAAAGCGUUUACGAAGAGCGCGAUGAUAAAAACCGAUGUUUAUCCUUAGAUAGGGAUAACGUAUGAAACCUGACAACCUGACAAAAACCCGGACGUCACCCUAAAAUCCAGACAUAACCUGGACGGUAAUUUCUUUAAAAAACCCUGACACUCACCGCCGCAAUCCCGAAAUGGACCACAAAUCCUGACAAUUCUGACAUGCAACCAUCCCUAGACUACAACGCAUUUUUUGCACAUAUGUAUUUCCUAUCUUGCAUUCAUGUAAGUAGGGUAAUUUCUUUAAAAAACCCUGACACUCACCGCCGCAAUCCCGAAAUGGACCACAAAUCCUGACAAUUCUGACAUGCAACCAUCCCUAGACUACAACGCAUUUUUUGCACAUAUGUAUUUCCUAUCUUGCAUUCAUGUAAGUAGUCGUCAACGUGGAAUCAACCGGACGUGUAACAAAUCGACGUAUAAUUUCUUUUUACCUUUUUUUAAACUUUUAUAGUAAAAUUAAGUUGUUUUUCGUCUUCCCAACAAAAAUAGCUAAGUCUUGGGAAAUAUAAUGUAAUGGAGAGAAAUUAUAAGACCUUAUAGAGGAAAGCCACAGCAUUUAAAUAACGUGUUUUGCAUUUGGUCAUGACCGGAUGUUACAUUUAUUUUAUAGAACUUUAAUAACAUACCUACGGUUAAUUUUCGACCAGCGGCAGCGUAUAACAUUUUUAAAACAAGAUCCGUCCAAACGCAAAAUUGUUAAGUAGUACUUCGAAUUAGUGAUGCAAUCUCAAUUUAUUUUUAACGUAUGUAUACUUACAGUAGGUGAUCGGUAUUUCGGCGCUCGCCAGUCCGGCACGCCCAUUAAUCCGACAAUUAGUACUCAAGUGACCCGUUUAAUACUCCCACAGCUUAUGGCUCCUCUACACGAUGGGCCAGCGCCGGCCACUCCAAGGGACGCAUUUAUGCGUUAGAGGGAGCAAAUGAUAUUGCUAUCUCAUUCUACCGCAUGGCUGCGUCCGUUGGAGUGGCUGGCGCUGGCCCAUUGUGUAGAGGAGUCAUUAGAGCGGUUUCAGACUAGUGUAUUUUUCUGGGGUUACCAGCUUACACUCGCUUUGGUAUUUACGCGCUUACACGCGCGUUAAGGGGCCCACUGAUUGAGGGCCCGGGCGGUAUCGGCCUGUCAGUCAAAACAAAAUGUUGACAGUUCUGAACAACUGACAGGCCGAUACCGUCCGGCGGACUGUUAAUCAAUGGGCCCCUUUACUUUUCCGGUCUAAACGUACCGUGGUGUACUGGAGUGGCGUCCCUUACACAGCCGAACGUUGGAUUACAGAGCAAAAGGGUUGUAUUGCAUUACAUGUAGAAUUUAUAUUCUAUAUAAAGAUUUAUUUGCCAUACAUAGGUAUCCAAUAAUCGAACCGUUCUGACAAUAUGUACGGCAUAGGGGCAAAAUUUCCACUGCAGGAUAACCGAGUACCUACUGUAUUUCUGAAUACAAAAAUUAUGUAUUUAAUUUAAUUUUGGAUAUUUUAACACGGUAUUAUUUUUACCACAGAACUUCAAAUACCUAUAUCCAAUAAAAAAACACGUGCCCGUUUAUAAACGUGUUAGUUUUAAGUCAAAAUUGUGAUAAAUGUGCCUUAUAAUUGCAGCUAUUUUGUUUUUAUUGUGUAUUAAGAAUAAAUUAAUCAGCUAA
Long non-coding RNA from Cydia fagiglandana, 2413 nucleotides. RefSeq lists it as uncharacterized. The record is from RefSeq and is a predicted model, not a curated record. The transcript is spliced from 2 exons. Lineage: Eukaryota; Metazoa; Arthropoda; Insecta; Lepidoptera; Tortricidae.